GCUGGGCAUAGUGGCGCAUGCCUGUAAUCCCACUACCCGGAAGGCUGAGGCAGUAGGAUCACUUGAGCCCAGGAGAGAGAGGUUGCAGUGAGCCGAGAUUGUGCCACUGCACUCCAGCCUGGGCAACACAGUGAGACUCUGUCUCAA
This is a non-coding RNA of Gorilla gorilla gorilla (western lowland gorilla), 147 nucleotides long. It matches the Rfam family "Metazoan signal recognition particle RNA". From Rfam's summary of the family: The signal recognition particle (SRP) is a universally conserved ribonucleoprotein. It is involved in the co-translational targeting of proteins to membranes. The eukaryotic SRP consists of a 300-nucleotide 7S RNA and six proteins: SRPs 72, 68, 54, 19, 14, and 9. The record is from Rfam. Lineage: Eukaryota; Metazoa; Chordata; Mammalia; Primates; Hominidae.